RNAcentral lists this transfer RNA (68 nucleotides) under Balanus trigonus. RNAcentral's name for it is "tRNA-Val". The record is from RNAcentral. Lineage: Eukaryota; Metazoa; Arthropoda; Thecostraca; Balanomorpha; Balanidae.
UGAGAACAAGCUGUUUAGCAUUUCAUUUACACUGAAAAGGUGCUUGUAUAAAAUUACAAGGUUCUUAA